UACAGAGGGGGCAAGCGUUGUUCGGAAUUACUGGGCGUAAAGGGCGCGUAGGCGGCCCGCUAAGUCGCACGUGAAAUCCCUGGGCUCAACCCAGGAACUGCGUCCGAUACUGGCAGGCUUGAAUCCGGGAGAGGGAUGCGGAAUUCCAGGUGUAGCGGUGAAAUGCGUAGAUAUCUGGAGGAACACCGGUGGCGAAGGCGGCAUCCUGGACCGGCAUUGACGCUGAGGCGCGAAAGCUAGGGGAGCAAACGGG
RNAcentral lists this ribosomal RNA (253 nucleotides) under uncultured bacterium. RNAcentral describes it as "partial 16S ribosomal RNA". It matches the Rfam family "Bacterial small subunit ribosomal RNA", at positions 524 to 776 of the family's 1533-position model. The record is from RNAcentral.